GUCCGAGGGGUCUCCGAGGUGCCGGCGAUGUUAACAAGUUCCCGGGUUUCGGCACCAGAUGUCCCGCGAGACUGUCUUGCCGGCAAGAACCACACAGGACAUUCGGAUCCUUCUGCAGUAAAGCUUUAAUGCGUCUUGAGAGGAGAGCAUAAGCUUACCAGAGCAGAGACCCUGAGCCAAGAAUUCCAUCCCCUAAUAAAGGCUCACAAACUCUGAGCGAUGCGUGUACAGCUGGGAUAGGUGCAUGACUCGUCACCCUAUAUGACGCCAUGGAAUAGGCAGGGCUAGGCAGUGGAAAAACACUGGGCACAUGGAUACCAACGUUGUUUACUUGAUCUGGCAGCGGAUGUCAGCGCCAUCUUGUAAUGGCGAAUGUGAGUGCGGCUCCUCACAGAAAGGAACUGAGAUCCCCCACUUCCCAGCUCCUUAGUUCCUAGCCAACAGCCUCUGCCAAUCUGUUCACCACACAAUGGCGUCUUCUCCACCAUGGGGCCUUGAGACACCACAGGAGCUGCUCCCCACAGAGUGGAGGUGUCACCUUCGCCAGAUGCUGACUGAUUGCAGAUGAGUGGGCAACAUGACUGUUCAGGCUAUUGUGUUCUGGGUAAUUGGUUACAUGGGUGUACAUGACUGUUAGAGGGUAUUGUGUCCUAGAGUAAUUGGUUACACGGCCAUAACCACUGAUAUACACAUAGGUAGAUGAGAUUUGUACCAGAAAGGCCGCUCCCAAGUUCUUGGUCCUGCUCCUACCAGAAGUGUGCCUAUUGAACUAUUGAGGUCCACUGCAGAGGGCUGCUGGCAAAAGAGAUGGCGACCGUAAUAUACUGAACACUGUGCUUGGCCUUCGUGGUGAUUGAUAGUGAAAAUGACUUCUGCAAGAUGAGGCAACUGUACUGCUGUGAGUUCCCAAGAGGAGGGAUCUAUACGGAGACCUACUCACUUGAAGACCUUGAAAAAGUUAGUGAGGGAAAAUAGAGGAGGAAAAUUGGAGGGAGACGAGUAGCCUCUUCAAACACAGUGACACAAGGGGCAAAAGGACGGUGAAGAAGGAAAAUGUGUCAAAUUCUGAGGUGCUUUGCACACAACACUGGUGUGCUCAUCCCUCUUCUCCAGAGAUCUAGAAAAACCGAGUGGGGAAAACCCCUGUUUGCUUGCUCCUGAACCGAAGUCUUCAGCUGCACGUUCAAGGUCAUUUCUGCCACCUGCCUGCCCCAGCUCAACAGACGAUGCCAUGUGCCGUGAAAUUUUCUAACCACAUCUCACAGAUAAUCUGAUUUACCUUAAUAAAAAUCCUGUAAGGUGUCUUGAUUUAUUAGUGGCUGC
This 1323-nucleotide long non-coding RNA is filed under the name Cricetulus griseus (Chinese hamster). RNAcentral describes it as "lncRNA (ENSCGRG00015039199.1)". Lineage: Eukaryota; Metazoa; Chordata; Mammalia; Rodentia; Cricetidae. The record is from RNAcentral.